This 328-nucleotide unclassified non-coding RNA is filed under the name soil metagenome. RNAcentral's name for it is "partial contains 5.8S ribosomal RNA, internal transcribed spacer 2, and large subunit ribosomal RNA". The stretch from base 1 to 120 matches the Rfam family "5.8S ribosomal RNA", at positions 35 to 154 of the family's 154-position model. The record is from RNAcentral.
GAUUAAGAACGUAGCGAAAUGCGAUAAGUAAUGUGAAUUGCAGAAUUCAGUGAAUCAUCGAAUCUUUGAACGCACAUUGCGCCCCUUGGUAUUCCGAGGGGCAUGCCUGUUCGAGCGUCAUUAUAACCCCUCAAGCUCAGCUUGGUGUUGGGGCCUGCUGCACUGGCAGCCCUUAAAAUCAGUGGCGGCGCCAUCUGGCUCUAAGCGUAGUAAUUCUUCUCGCUAUGGAGUCCUGGUGGAUGCUUGCCAUCAACCCCCAAUUUUUCUAUGGUUGACCUCGGAUCAGGUAGGGAUACCCGCUGAACUUAAGCAUAUAAUAAGCGGAGGA